Molecule: ribosomal RNA, 1240 nt
Filed under: metagenome
Description: bacterial LSU rRNA
Rfam family: Bacterial large subunit ribosomal RNA
Source: RNAcentral
UGAAUACGAAACGCUAAGGCGUCGAAGUAGUGUAUGUCAUACUUCCAAGAAAAGCUUGCACUGUCAUAGAUAAAAAACGCCUGUACCAUAACCGACACAGGUGGGUAGGUAGAGUAUACUAAGGGGCGCGAGAUAACUCUCUCUAAGGAACUCGGCAAAAUAACUCCGUAACUUCGGGAGAAGGAGUGCCUUAUUCGUAAGGUUGCAAUAACAAGAUCCAAGCAACUGUUUAUCAAAAACACAGGUCUCCGCUAAGUCGUAAGACGAUGUAUGGGGGCUGACGCCUGCCCAGUGCCAGAAGGUUAAAGAAGUUGGUUAGCAAUUGCGAAGCUGAUAACUGAAGCCCUGGUGAACGGCGGCCGUAACGAUAACGGUCCUAAGGUAGCGAAAUUCCUUGUCGGGUAAGUUCCGACCCGCACGAAAGGCGUAAUGAUUUGGAUACUGUCUCGGAGAGGGGCUCGGUGAAAUAGACUUGUCUGUGAAGAUGCGGACUACCUGCACCAGGACAGAAAGACCCUAUGAAGCUUUACUGUAACUUGAAAUUGAAAUUGGACUUUAUUCGCGCAGUAUAGGUGGGAGGCGUUGAUUAUAAUCUUGUGGGAUUAUUGGAGCCAUCAGUGAGAUACCACUCUUGUAAUGUUAGAUUUCUAACUUUGAAUCAUUAUCUGGUCAAAGAACAGUUUCAGGCGGGCAGUUUGACUGGGGCGGUCGCCUCCUAAACGGUAACGGAGGCGUACAAAGGUUUCCUCUGAACGGUUAGAAAUCGUAUCUAGAGUGUAAAGGCAUAAGGAAGCUUGACUGUGAGACCUACAAGUCGAGCAGGGACGAAAGUCGGUCUUAGUGAUCUGACGGUACUGAGUGGAAAGGCCGUCACUCAACGGAUAAAAGUUACUCUAGGAUAACAGGCUGAUCUCCCCCAAGAGUUCACAUCGACGGGGAGGUUUGGCACCUCGAUGUCGGCUCAUCGCAUCCUGGGGCGGUAGUACGUCCCAAGGGUUGGGCUGUUCGCCCAUGAAAGCGGUACGCGAGCUGGGUUCAGAACGUCGUGAGACAGUUCGGUCCAUAUCCGGUGUAGGCGUUAGAAUAUUGAGAGGAGCCUUCUUUAGUACGAGAGGACCGAGAAGGACAUACCUCUGGUGUACCAGUUAUCGUGCCAACGGAAAACGCUGGGUAGCUAUGUAUGGAGUGGAUAACCGCUGAAAGCAUCUAAGUGGGAAGCCCACCUCAAGAUAAGUAUUCU